This is a long non-coding RNA of Leptonychotes weddellii (Weddell seal), 4920 nucleotides long. RefSeq lists it as uncharacterized. NCBI's taxonomy places the organism in Eukaryota, Metazoa, Chordata, Mammalia, Carnivora, Phocidae. The record is from RefSeq and is a predicted model, not a curated record.
CGGAUGUGCGGCGGCGCCGCCGGAAAAAAGAAGUGGCCACGGCUUAGGGAGUUGAGUUAGAAGACCUGCAGCUGGGCUAAGGUGGAAGGUGGGGGGGAAGAGAGGAUGCCGACGGCAGGGGGCGCUGGUGGCCGGGCUGUCAUGGAGCGGGAGGACGCAGGCUAUGGCUCCGGAGCACGCUGCCAACCCGGCUUGUCACAAGAGGGGAGUCCGAAACCUGUGAAACAACCCGCCUAGCGGCUUCGGCCGUCGGGCGACGUGGGCGGAGGGAAAGCUUUCCCAGCUGCGUCUCUUCCUGGUUGCAUCUCCGCUGCUCUUCGCUGCUGGGUCGGCGCACUGGCGUUCAAGGCCCCUCCAGUGGGCAAGCCAUGGUUCUUCUAAGAGUCAUUAGAAGUACCGGAGAAAAGAUUUUCUCCAAGAACGGGCAGUUCAGAAGCUCCACAUGAGACCCCAGCAGAAUUGUCAACAGGAAAGAAUCAUCAGUUAUAAGCACCAACGGGAGAAAUGUACAUUACAUCUCUUCAGCAACAAAGCCAAUGAGAAACCAUCAUCACCCUGUACUCUUGCUUUACUCCAGUGGACUUUCCUUCAAAACAACCCCUCCCAACUUCCUCUUCCUUCUCCAGAAAAUAACAUUCCUUUCCUUUCUUGGACUAGCCUAUGGUUUUUGCCAUAGCUUGCUUGUCCCACGUUGCAGUUCUCUGCUAUUCUUGAAUAAACUCAUUUUUGCUGCUAAAAUAACUGUUUAUUUUUAAGGUCAUCAAAAAUGUAUUUGUUAUACAUAGGUAUCUGUCAAAAUUGAAAUAAAGUGAAAUAGACUAGAGGCGAUAUCCAUUUCAAGAAAAAUGAGAGAAAGCAAAUUUGCUUGGGGAAGUGGUCUUUUCUUCGCUUGUUACGUUACCUGUCUGGCUCCUGUAAACGUUUGAGCUUGCCACCCCAAUAGAGAGCUGACUCCCUCAUUUGCCAAAGAGGAUCUGAGACUAUAACAGCACUCCAAUCAGGAGUUAAGGGUUAAACUGCUUCAAGCUUCUGUGCUCCCAGCUUGCUGACCUAAGCUCCCUUCUUGCUGACCUAAGUCUCUUUGUCUAUAGCAGAACUAACCUACUUUCCUUGAGAUUUGCAGGCCACUGGCCUUGAGGAGUGAAGGCCCAGACUUUUCCAGAAGGUAAGCCCUGACCACCAUCUAAAACACGUGCCACUGAUGCUGGCCAGUCUGUUCAGGGUCAUGUCCACAUAUGACUAAUUGCCAGGGCACUGCUUCUCCUGCAUGGAGACCCCUACCUCCCCUUCCCCAUUUCCAGUGCCAUUCUCUGCCUAGUAACAAGACCUGGGGAGGGUGGGCGUCUUGCCUAGGUCUCACAUGGAUUUAGCAGUACGUUCCUUUUUACCUUGCCCACCAUGGCAGAUUAGUAACUGUGUGACAAGCAUUUAUUUUCAUAGUGAACACCUAUUAAAGGAGGGUGGUUUGAAAAAUAAAAAUGAAAACAGGUGGGCUGUAUCCUAAGUUAUUAGGCUGGUUAGGCUCGGUUGGAAUUCCCUAAUGCCAAAGGUCAUGGGAGGUUCACACACAUUGUCAAGAGAGGAGGAUGGGAGAGAAGGAGGGCAGUGGACAGCCUGGCCUGAAGGCCCCAUCCAGGUGGCAGUGCUGUCCUGGCGCUCCAGCUCCAUGGUGCUUUUGUUCUUUUCACUUGAAUCCUGCUGUUGCAGGUCCCUCGGGUACAUGCGUGUGGGGUGCAGCGUCAGACUAUAGAGAGAGCACAGGCUCUGAGUCAGCAGGCCUGGGUUCAAAUGUUGCCUCUUUCUUACCACCAGGAGAACCUAGAAAGAUUUCUUCGUCCUUCUAAACCUCAGUUAUCCUGCCAAUAAAAUGGGAGUGAAAAUGCCUGUUUUGCAGGGUUGCAAUGAAAACUCGGGGAGGCGGUACAUGCAGGCAGUUGUAAGAGGCCUGAUGUGUUGGUUCCACUCUACUCCGACCUCUUAGCCCUCUGUCCUGAGGGGAUUCUGGACAGCACUAGUCACAAGGAGACUGCGAAGGCUGCUGGUGACUUUCUUCUCUCGUGCUGGUGGCCACAUUUGCUUUGCAGGUGCUCUUUGACAAGAGACCAUCAGGGCUGGUGAUGCCAGUGUGCAGCCUUUCAGAUGUGCUGGAGGAUAAAAGGCCCUGCCCUGAGUCCCUGGAGUGCCUCCACGCACCAUGCAGACAGAAUAUCUUGGCCCCUCCACACCUGAGCAGACCUGGAAACGGAAAAGGGGAAAAGAAAAAGACCAUUUGCCAGCAGUCUUUUUGGGCUCCUUAGCUUCGAACAUUCUUCUGACACCAGCCCACAGUAGACAUGGCUCAUGGCGUUUAGUGUUGCUGGGUGGCCCCAGAACCCCACAGCUGUGGCAGUUCUUGCUGUUCUUCUAGUGGCUUCACAAUCCCACUGUGAGGUUCCCUUGACACUGCAGAAUCUCUGUCCCCCUGCCGCCCUUGCCCGGUGUAGAGAGGGGUUCACCAUUCCCAAUGCUGUGCGACAGCCUCUGUUGCAUCUUUGGGCACGUGGAAGUGAAUUUGUCUUAUUGUCCUGUAGAAGUAAAUGGAAAUACUUAUUUUGCAUAAAUUAAUACAUGGACUAGGGGCGGCCUCCAUCUUUCUGGUUUCUGGAGAGUGAAAACUGUAAGGCCUGACAGUCUCAGAUCCUAAAUACAGAAGCCUCUUCACCUCUGGACUGAACACUUGAAACCAAAACAUGUCCUUUUGCCGAUGCUCAUUUGAGUCCAUUUUUCUAACACAGAUGACAAGAUCCUGACUAGUGCAGAAAUUGGUCUUGCCAAUGGGGUAUCACCGCAGACUCUAAAAUCAAACAAUGACGGGGUUGGGUGGCUCUUCAGAGCGGAUUGUUCUUUCCUGGCUGGAAACUUGACAAUUCUCAUAUACAGGAUAUUUUUCCGUCUGCCCUUUCAGGCCCACCUGUCAUGAGGGAGGCAGGAGGAAGCCCCUGGGAAGAUGUGUAGGGGUGAAUGGGAUCCGGAUGGCGCCUCUGGUAGAGCCAGGGAGCUGGAGGGAGAGCUGAUGGAAUAGACGGGUGGGGCGGUUCUCAUCUCCCUUCUCUGUGAGAUAAGAAGCAAGAUUAUCUUCUGGGUGUCAAGGAGGCACAGGUGGAUGGCAGGUUUAAGAGAAGUGAUAACAAUCUGGGAGGGCUCUAGAAAAGGAUGGGAGAGUGACUGACAGGAAACAAGUACUCGAUUUGGAGACUGGUGGAGAGGGGGCUCCACCAAUCCUAGGAACCCAACCCUGAUGAGGCAUCAGUCCACAGGAGGGCCAGCUGGCUGUGUGUGGCUCUCUGAAUGCUGAGCAGUUCUGUGGGGGCAGAGCUGGGGCAGGGGGCUUGCGGGCUGAUGGACAGGCAGGGAUAGUAUGGGCACAGUGGAAGACGGGGUGCUGAGGAGCUCAUGCGCUGGCUGACAUCCUAUUGGAGUCCACCCUCCUUUGCAUGGCAAACUGCAGUCAGUGAGGUAGCAGCUCUUCCCACAGUAGCCCAAAUUCCCAGAAACAGCAACUGAGAAGAUAGGAGGACACCUGAGGCACAGGGGGGAAUGUGCCAUGACCACUCUUACCUGGCUUUAUGGGCUCCAUGAGAAAUUGUCCAUAGGAACAAUGUCCAUUAGGAAGAUUCCAUUUCAAAGCCUGGCUUGUAAAGGCCAUCUUAAAACAGUCUUCAGGUUUUAGGUGGUGAGAGAGGACAGCAUGUUCUCUCCCAUUGCCACCUGAUCAAUCAAAUGUCAGCAAGACUGAGCCUCUGCUAGCAAAACAGUGUUUCCUAUUCCAAAGACAGCUCUUCCCAAGAGAUUAAAAAUUAGACCAGUAGUUGUCCACUAGAAAACUCCUGAACAUUCUUUGUCAUAAUUAUAGCAGGGAAUAGAAAACCUAGUUUAUAGAGUGUUUUAUGUUCACUCUUUGCCAUCUGUUACUUCCUGAGUCUUCACAAUAGCCCUGGGAGGUAAGUAGGCUCAUCCCACUAUUUCUAUAUUUCAGUUGAUGAUGUGAGGUGCACCCACCCUCAUUCUUCCUCCCUCCUUUGCCCUGCUCCCUGAGACUAUAGUCAUUUCCCUCUGACAGUGUAUGGAACUCUACGGUUUACUAGCUAGUCACUGGAUUUUCCCCCAGUCUCAGGCCUUGCUCAUUGCUGCUUAAAAGCCAUAAUACAGUUUAUUACAAUAAACAUUUUAAAGGCUCACUUGUAAAAUGGACUUGGCAAAAAGAAUAGAUACACAUAAAGGGCCAAGCAGUGUUUUUUCUGUAUCAUCUGUCUCCCAUGGGAGGGAGGAGUCUAUGUUAAUUAAAUUAAAAGACCAACCACCUAUCAAUUUAGCAAACGUGAAUCCCCCUGGGUUACAGUAAGGGAAGUUGUAUUUCUGAAAAUAAAAUAAUCCUGGAUUGGAACUUGAAAGGAAGGAGUUGCUGUGCAAUCAGAAGGCACCGAAUGGGCACUCGAUGAAUAUUUAUCAAAUCAACGUAUCAAGACUCCUGCAUGUGCCAAUACUUUGCCCACCUUUUCUCAAAGGCCUAUCUGUGAACUACAGGGAAGCAAUGUUUGGGGAUCAUCAGGAAAGAUGUUUACCCAGUAGAUAUGACAAGAUGUCACAUGGUAUCUCAUAAAAUGUGAAAUUGAAGCUACUUCUGAGAGAAAAUUAGCAAGUAAAAACCUACAUGUACUGAGAUCAUCCAUUUAUAGAAAGCAGCUGCUCCGACCUUCCCUUUUCCCCAGAAUCACGAGCUGCAGACGGACCUCAUGACGGAAAGGGUGUGUUCCCAGUGAAGUGUGGCCUCGUGCUUGUGGCUGUGGCACCGCCCUCAGUGUGAAAGCAAAUGGUACAUCACAGAGACAAAAUCCAGCAGAGCAUUGCCAACACUUCCCAGAGUAGAGGAGGCUUGGGCCA